CCUUAUCCCAUCUGUUUGCUUAAUUCAGGAUUCUGAAACAUGUUCAGUGAAUAGAAAAGGUUCCUGUCCUGCUGUCUGGGGGAGAGUUUUGGCAGCCUGCCCAACCAACUGUUGCCCGGAGUACUCCCAGGUGCGGGGAUGAGUGGCAUUGGCAUCAACAUAACUGAUAGCUCUCAAUAUGCUGCAUCAGUAAAAGCACACAGACAAAUGACGCUGGCCAUGGAGUCACACCAGCCUCAGCAGGACCUGUACAGAUCAGCC
This is a long non-coding RNA of Lagopus leucura (white-tailed ptarmigan), 261 nucleotides long. RefSeq lists it as uncharacterized. The record is from RefSeq and is a predicted model, not a curated record. The transcript is spliced from 3 exons. NCBI's taxonomy places the organism in Eukaryota, Metazoa, Chordata, Aves, Galliformes, Phasianidae.